CCUACGGGUGGCUGCAGUGAGGAAUAUUGGUCAAUGGGAGAGAUCCUGAACCAGCCAAGCCGCGUGAGGGAAGACGGCCCUAUGGGUUGUAAACCUCUUUUGUCGGAGAACAAAACCCGGGACGUGUCCCGGACUGCGUGUCUCAGAAGAAAAAGCAUCGGCUAACUCCGUGCCAGCAGCCGCGGUAAUACGGAGGAUGCGAGCGUUGUCAGGAUGUAAUGGGUUUAAAGGGUGCGUAGGCGGUCCGUUAAGUCAGCGGUAAAAUUGCGGGGCUCAACCCCGUCGAGCCGUUGAAACUGGCAGGCUUGAGUUGGCGAGAGGUACGCGGAAUGCGCGGUGUAGCGGUGAAAUGCAUAGAUAUCGCGUAGAACUCCGAGUGCGAAGGCAGCGUACCGGCGCCAGACUGACGCUGAGGCACGAAAGCGUGGGGAUCGAACAGGAUUAGAUACCCGGGUAGUC
RNAcentral lists this ribosomal RNA (459 nucleotides) under uncultured bacterium. Its description in RNAcentral is "partial 16S ribosomal RNA". It matches the Rfam family "Bacterial small subunit ribosomal RNA", at positions 338 to 795 of the family's 1533-position model. The record is from RNAcentral.